Molecule: ribosomal RNA, 48 nt
Filed under: Thaxterogaster sp. H3059
Lineage: Eukaryota; Fungi; Basidiomycota; Agaricomycetes; Agaricales; Cortinariaceae
Description: partial 18S ribosomal RNA
Rfam family: Eukaryotic small subunit ribosomal RNA
Source: RNAcentral
AAAAAAUGUAACAAGGUUUCCGUAGGUGAACCUGCGGAAGGAUCAUUA